Molecule: ribosomal RNA, 253 nt
Filed under: uncultured bacterium
Lineage: Bacteria
Description: partial 16S ribosomal RNA
Rfam family: Bacterial small subunit ribosomal RNA
Source: RNAcentral
UACAGAGGUCUCAAGCGUUGUUCGGAUUUACUGGGCGUAAAGGGUGUGUAGGCGGUUGGGUAAGUCUAAAGUGAAAGCUCUAAGCUUAACUUAGAAAUUGCUUUAGAUACUAUUCGACUCGAGGUCCGGAAAGGAGAUUGGAAUUCUCGGUGUAGCAGUGAAAUGCGUAGAUAUCGAGAGGAACAUCAGUGGCGAAAGCGAAUCUCUGGACGAAUCCUGACGCUGAGGCACGAAAGCUAGGGUAGCAAACGGG